This 497-nucleotide ribosomal RNA is filed under the name uncultured bacterium. RNAcentral's name for it is "partial 16S ribosomal RNA". It matches the Rfam family "Bacterial small subunit ribosomal RNA", at positions 28 to 507 of the family's 1533-position model. The record is from RNAcentral.
GAUGGACGCUGGCGGCGUGCCUAAUACAUGCAAGUCGAGCGAACAGACGAGGAGCUUGCUCCUCUGACGUUAGCGGCGGACGGGUGAGUAACACGUGGAUAACCUACCUAUAAGACUGGGAUAACUUCGGGAAACCGGAGCUAAUACCGGAUAAUAUAUUGAACCGCAUGGUUCAAUAGUGAAAGACGGUUUUGCUGUCACUUAUAGAUGGAUCCGCGCCGCAUUAGCUAGUUGGUAAGGUAACGGCUUACCAAGGCAACGAUGCGUAGCCGACCUGAGAGGGUGAUAGGCCACACUGGAACUGAGACACGGUCCAGACUCCUACGGGAGGCAGCAGUAGGGAAUCUUCCGCAAUGGGCGAAAGCCUGACGGAGCAACGCCGCGUGAGUGAUGAAGGUCUUCGGAUCGUAAAACUCUGUUAUUAGGGAAGAACAAAUGUGUAAGUAACUAUGCACGUCUUGACGGUACCUAAUCAGAAAGCCACGGCUAACUACGUG